Long non-coding RNA from Anopheles gambiae (African malaria mosquito), 976 nucleotides. RefSeq lists it as uncharacterized. NCBI's taxonomy places the organism in Eukaryota, Metazoa, Arthropoda, Insecta, Diptera, Culicidae. The transcript is spliced from 4 exons. The record is from RefSeq and is a predicted model, not a curated record.
AGAUGGAUCGAUAACGAGUACUGUAAGUUAAUGUUUAUAAUUAAAGUCAAAGGACUUGCGUGGAACAAAUUGAUGUGACAUUCAUAAGUUUUAAACAUGACUUAAUUCUUAACAUUUAAGAAAUCGCACGGCAAAUGUUCGUGUUUAAUUUAGUUUAUUUUUUAUUUUACUUUUUUAGGUAACCAGACAUCAACUUUACCGCGAAGACUGACUUUAUUCUGGCGGGGAAAAUUUAUAGUUCCUUCUCUCAUGCCCGGUGUGCACCCGGAUGCUUUUACCGUUGAUUAAGGAUAUCUACCAGUAGGCUAUUUGCGUCAAAUCGAACGGUGCUUCGUGCUGUGAAUGCGGCUCACUUUGUGAAUAUCGUACACAACUAUAGAAACACGCCAUCACGCAACUGCCACGAAAACAAGCACUAAAAUAACCGAAUUGUUGGGCCUAACGAACAUGAUGGUCCAGUGCACCACAAUGGGAGGGUUUUUUUUGCUAGUGCUUUCUAUUUCAUGAUGUUCUCGAACGUAUACCACAUAAACAAUUACAUCGUCAGGCAAGUACACUUUGGAGACCACGAUUCGAAACACACUCUAAUGCAAAUAUGUUUUAUGUAUUUUCAGGUUGCAGUAUAUGUCAUGUAUGGCUGGAUUCCUGUAGAAGUAAGAGGUCUAGCAAUCCGUGGCCAGACUAUCCAAGUAGAUGACAUUAAUCAAUUAAAACUAUGAAGCUGGAUAUGCUUUAAUAGACUCUCUUACAGAAGGCAAAACCUCGAAGGAGUAAUUAUCUAUUAGGUUUUACAGGUGAACAAAAUUAGCAACUCCCGAUCGAAUUGCACACAACAACCACCCACAAUCACAGCUGUAAAAGUAACACGGAUAGGUAGCAAGGAAAUCAAGCUUGUACACAGAAAUCUACACAAAAACUGGGUUUUAUAAGCGCACGAAAAGCGACGCGGCUAUCUUUGAAUAAAAAGUAAACAAAA